Molecule: long non-coding RNA, 1218 nt
Filed under: Triticum aestivum (bread wheat)
Lineage: Eukaryota; Viridiplantae; Streptophyta; Magnoliopsida; Poales; Poaceae
Description: long non-coding RNA (TAES_LNC021439)
Source: RNAcentral
UUCUUAACAACAUUGGCCAUCUUGCGGAACUCCUUGUGCAUGCGAGUGGAGAACGCAAAGGCUUGGUCUGCUGCGUCUUCAUCUUUGUUGUCAAGAGGACCACGGUCAUCUCCUUUUCAGCAGCUAACUGCACCACGUCUUCUUGUUUGACAGGUGAAAGACCAGUAGGAGUGGACAUUAUACAGGUAGUUGGUCCCCAUGCUGAACUGAACCGUGGCACUGCUAUUGCGAAUUACUACAUCAGGUCAGAGUGCAAUACAUGUUAGAUAGUUAUGGUUUAUGAUAACCUUUGCAGGUAAGCUUAACAAGAUAUAUUAAGGAACUGAAAAUCAAAGGUAGCACGUGCAUAAAAGUUUCAGGCGGUAGUUCCAUUUUCAGUGAACUAAACAAAUAAAGUAGAAAAGGACAAGCUAAUAAUGCCAUGUGUGCACAACCAGCAUCUGAAAGACCAAUGUAGUACAUGAGGGCAUCAUCUCAGUUCAUAGAUAAUCGGUGAACAAGGGCAUCAUUUUUUCAGUUUAGAAACAAUAUAAAUUGGCAAUGGAUGUCAAUCUGCAAGUACAUAAGAGAGGUGAAACUAUCUUACAUAGUUGUGCAUGUUUAACAUGAGCUUAGUUUGUGAAGCAUUUGUCAAACAUCCAAGAAAAGAAUACGAAAAUAGAUCGAAGGACAUGUACGACGGAGGCUGCGGUGAAAUUUCCCAGAGAUGAACGUGACUUUCGAUGCACAAUAGACCGUUUCAAGGACCUGAAUAUGUACAAAACCCACAAUACGUUAUUAUGGAUAAUUAUACGACAUGCCUUCAAAGAAUUAAAAUGUGCUUACUAACAGAAAUACAUUGAAAUAGGAUGCAGAUCAGGAAAACGUACCAGUCACUUUGACCCAACUCGAUGUAGCUUUGUUCACUGGAUCUUCUCCCCGACAACUUCAUUGUAGUUUCUGCACAAUAACACAUUUUCUGAAGAAAUAUAUUCUGCACACAACCAACGGUUUCUCUGAAGAAAUGUAUUCUGCACAACAGAUUAAAGUUUCUGCAUGAUAACUAAAAAAAGAUGGACAUUAACAAACAUGCAAGCGGGCUGAAAGGAGAAACCAUGUAAUCCAAGUCUGCUCCCUAACCACAGAUCUAUCAACAUAUUACACAACACACAGAAGUGUGUUCUUGUGUUUUCUUACAAAUAAGAUGUUGUGUAGCCAAAUCAUAUAGACUGAACCAAC